This 480-nucleotide ribosomal RNA is filed under the name uncultured bacterium. RNAcentral describes it as "partial 16S ribosomal RNA". It matches the Rfam family "Bacterial small subunit ribosomal RNA", at positions 28 to 506 of the family's 1533-position model. The record is from RNAcentral.
GAUGAACGCUGGCGGCGUGCCUAACACAUGCAAGUCGAGCGAAGCGCUUAAAUUAGAUUUCUUCGGAAUGACGAUUUUUGUGACUGAGCGGCGGACGGGUGAGUAACGCGUGGGUAACCUGCCUCAUACAGGGGGAUAACAGUUAGAAAUGACUGCUAAUACCGCAUAAGACCCCAGCUUCGCAUGAAGCGGUGGUAAAAACUCCGGUGGUAUGAGAUGGACCCGCGUCUGAUUAGCUAGUUGGUAAGGUAACGGCUUACCAAGGCGACGAUCAGUAGCCGACCUGAGAGGGGGACCGGCCACAUUGGGACUGAGACACGGCCCAGACUCCUACGGGAGGCAGCAGUGGGGAAUAUUGCACAAUGGGGGAAACCCUGAUGCAGCGACGCCGCGUGAAGGAUGAAGUAUUUCGGUAUGUAAACUUCUAUCAGCAGGGAAGAAAGGGACGGUACCUGACUAAGAAGCCCCGGCUAACUACGU